This 1869-nucleotide long non-coding RNA is filed under the name Cricetulus griseus (Chinese hamster). RNAcentral describes it as "lncRNA (ENSCGRG00015030739.1)". The record is from RNAcentral. Lineage: Eukaryota; Metazoa; Chordata; Mammalia; Rodentia; Cricetidae.
CUGGAACACCACUUCUCUACUACAUUUCCCAGAAUCCUCUUUGACUCCUAGUCCAGCCUAACUUGCUGUCUCAUUGGCCAAGCAAGUACUUUAUUUAACAAUCAAUAAGAUAAACAUACACAGAAGUAUUUCCCCCAUCAUAUGGCCAUGGGCCAUUUUGACAGAGAAAAUCUUCAAUUAAUACUAAUUCUUCCCAGAUGAUUCCAACAUGUGUCAAGUUGACAAAAAAAAAUUAAGCAGCUCACUCGAAUUUCAGGCAAUCAUCAAUAAGCCAAGCAUUGCAGAUGAAGAUGUAGAAAGAUUCUAAGAACCAGAGAUAGUAUAUACUCUGGCCAGGAUGCCUGCUGUGAGACAGUGUCUUCUAGACAUCACAGAAAAACUGUGCUAAUGAAAUAUCAACAACAUGGUUGCCUAAACAAGACAUGCAUAAGGACCACAUCAAAGGACAAAUCAACAUGGGUGAAGGAAGUUUCACAAGGCCCUACCCUUGAUGAAGAAGUACGGGUAAGAAACUCAUGGCAGCUGGCAGGGGGACAAUCCAUUUUCUCCAAGGACAAACUCCACAAUAGGUUUUCCAAUCCCUUGAACACAUGUACGUAGAAGUAACACUAAAUGGUCUCAGCAGGUUACACAUGCACACAUACACAUACACACUAUAUAAUAUAUACUAAUACAUACACAGACACAUACAUACUAUAUUAAUAUAUGCAUAUACAUACCAUGCAACACAUAUACAUACAUAUAUAUGUGAGUAAACAUAUUCUAUGUAACAUAUAUUAAUACACACACGUGUGUGUAUGUGUUUAUGUGUGUAUUCUGAUUACUGUCGUGUUUCUUCCUGAAUGGUAUACCUGUUGUUUGUCCCUUCUCUUAGUUUUGUGACCCCUUUGAACAAUCUGGGUAUUUCUGAACUUUUUUCUUUCUACUCUAAUUUGGUGACUGCCUUUAUCUUUUGGCCUUCUAAGCUGUUUUGAACUACUUGAGCUAUUACAGUUUCUGUGACAGGCCUUGUCAGCUUGAAAGUUCUUUGAACAAAUUUGGAUUUCUGUUGAGCACCGAGUGUCUCCCUUGUGAUGGGGAAUGUUAAAACACAUUUGUCUCUUUGACUCUGCUGAGGUCUUAAGUUUGUGUUGGAACAUUUGAGACAGAGAAACAAGGGUUUUCAGAUGUCUACUGUGAUUUGUGUAACCAUGGAAAAUGUCAAGUAUAUACUAUCUUGGUGCCUUCUAGGGAGAAUUCUAACUGACUCAUUUUUUUGUAAGGUUGUGAUAGAUUCUAAAGGAGCACCUGGUACUAAAGAAAUUGAUUCUCUCUUUCCACCAUGUGGGUCCCAGGAUCAAACUCAGGUGAUCAGGCUAGGCAGCACGAGCUUUUACCCACAGAGCCAUCUUGCCUGCCCUUGAUCUCAAAUACUGAAUCUACACUUCUGGGAUUUCUAGGGACUCCAAGAAAGCUAGUCUGCCCCUUGAAUUCUUAAAAAUAAAUGACUAGCAAGCCUCUGGACAUUCGUUUUUAAAUUUCUUUCUGAACGUAAGCACAUCUUAAAAAUUGCUAUUCUUGUCCCACACAGCCAAUGAAGACCUGCCUGACAGCAAUCCCUGGACACCCUGGAAAGAAAAUGGGCCACACCUCCUCGACUGCACUGGAUCCAACUUGCUCCAUUUCAACUGACACUCCGGCCAGAGGGUACUGACUUCAAUCAAGUUGAGGAUUUCAAGCGAGAUCUUCAAUCAAGUGAAUCCCAUCUAACAUGGACUGGAUACAAUUCAUUCAAGACUUUCACUAUACUAACAUUUUCUUCCUACAGGACCCCACAUGACUAUCAUCAUCCCAUUUCAGCAGGAAGUAACUUGGAGAAUGCUACGCCCC